AUGGAGGAGCAACUCGCAGCGUUGAUCCAAUCGGUCAAGGAGGGUCGCGCCGCCAACGACGCCAAGCUGGAGGCGAUCCAGCAGUCGCUGGAACUCUGGCGACCAGCGGUCCAGAACCUGCAAGGUCAGAUCGACGAGCUCCGAACUCAAGUGGGUCGGAUCGCGCUGCAUUCCGUCCUCGCGGAUCCGGCGGCCACCGAGGAAGGAACCGCGCGGGCGCCACCGCCUGCCGCGUCGGGGCACUUGGGGCCAAGUGGCCACGGCGAGGUCGACGACUCCGGGGGUGUGGUUCACGGGGUGGUCACCAUCCUGGUACCGCCUCCAGUCAAGGGUGCGUUACCUUCUUCCUUCUCGGAUAAUCCAGUACAAGGGGAUCUGGAAUUGGUUCAUGGGUCGAUGAGGGAAGGGCCGCAACAUCACGCCCAGCAUGCGUCGCUCGCGCAUUGGGCUUUGCCCAGACUUGAUUUUCCACAAUUCGAUGGGGAUAACCCUCAAUUCUGGAAAACUAAGUGCGAGAAGUAUUUUGAUGUCUAUGGAGUCAGUAGGGAUGUGUGGGUGCGGGUAGCGACUUUGCACUUUACGGGUAACGCUGCCCGAUGGCUGCAAUUGUACGAGUCGGGGAUGAAAACUAUAGAGUGGGAAGAGUUGUGUGCUGCACCCCGUAGUAAAUUCGGACGCGACCAAUAUCAGGCGCAACUCCGUCAAUUUGCUCUUAGUGCAGACGAGUUCGGUGUCGGAUUAUAUGACACAGUUCGAGGAGUUAAUGCAUAA
RNAcentral lists this ribosomal RNA (771 nucleotides) under Triticum aestivum (bread wheat). RNAcentral's name for it is "partial small subunit ribosomal RNA". The record is from RNAcentral. Lineage: Eukaryota; Viridiplantae; Streptophyta; Magnoliopsida; Poales; Poaceae.